RNAcentral lists this ribosomal RNA (449 nucleotides) under uncultured bacterium. RNAcentral's name for it is "partial 16S ribosomal RNA". It matches the Rfam family "Bacterial small subunit ribosomal RNA", at positions 29 to 523 of the family's 1533-position model. The record is from RNAcentral.
AACGAACGCUGGCGGCAUGCCUAACACAUGCAAGUCGAACGAAGCCUUCGGGCUUAGUGGCGCACGGGUGCGUAACGCGUGGGAAUCUGCCCUUUGGUUCGGAAUAACAGUUGGAAACGACUGCUAAUACCGGAUGAUGACGAAAGUCCAAAGAUUUAUCGCCAGAGGAUGAGCCCGCGUAGGAUUAGCUAGUUGGUGUGGUAAAGGCGCACCAAGGCGACGAUCCUUAGCUGGUCUGAGAGGAUGAUCAGCCACACUGGGACUGAGACACGGCCCAGAAUCCUACGGGAGGCAGCAGUGGGGAAUAUUGGAAAAUGGGCGAAAGCCUGAUCCAGAAAUGCCGCGUGAGUGAUGAAGGCCCUGGGGUUGUAAAGCUCUUUUACCCGGGAUGAUAAUGACAGUACCGGGAGAAUAAGCCCCGGCUAACUCCGUGCCAGCCGCCGCCGUAA